Molecule: ribosomal RNA, 1919 nt
Filed under: human gut metagenome
Description: bacterial LSU rRNA
Rfam family: Bacterial large subunit ribosomal RNA (bases 469-1919)
Source: RNAcentral
CGUUGUUGUUCAAUUCAUGCAGUAAAGAUCCUGUAAUUCCUGAAAAUGAGACAGAUAAUAAAUUGCAUGAAGAUCCUUCCAAAAUGACUAUCCGUCUUGUGGAAUGUCACCUGCAUGCAGACUGGAAUGAAAUACAGAAAGUCGGUGGACCUCACCAGAAUCCGGAAUCUCCGGCCAAGCACAUGAAACGUAUUCAGGAAAUAACUUAUGAGCUGAAAGCCGGCAAGGGUUGGAGGCUUGCCGAAGGCAGUCAAAGCAAGUUCUACGUGCAGAAAAAUGGAGACUACUAUACUUAUGGGAAAUACACCCCGGCUCCCGUUUAUUUGAUGUUCAUCUAUUACUAUAACGCCAAAGGAGAUUUGAUGAACAGCCAGUUUAUAGAAAACGGGCAGGAUAAUAUUCAUCAACAUUUCUUCACGCCUGAAAAUGUAAAACCCACAUUUGACGGUCAGCCGGAAGCCGAUGACAAUGAACCGCAGAAAUUGGUGGAUUAUCUUUAUGUGGACACUACCCCCUGGGACAAGACCAAACAUAGCAAGGAAGCUGAAAUAACAGGAGACAGUAACCCGAUAGGUUUGAAAGGAGUUAUCUAUGAUACGCGGUAAGGUUAAGGACUUAAGGUCCGGAGCCGAAGCGAAAGCGAGUGUUAAGAGCACGAGGAAUCACGUAUCAUAGACCCGAAACCGGGUGAUCUAUCCAUGUCCAGGAUGAAGCUGCCGUAAGAGGUAGUGGAGGUCCGAACACACAUCCGUUGAAAAGGGUGGUGAUGAGGUGUGGAUAGGGGAGAAAUUCCAAUCGAACCCGGAGAUAGCUGGUUCUCCUCGAAAUAGCUUUAGGGCUAGCCUCUGGUUAGUCUGCCGCAGGUAGAGCACUGAAUUUCCUAGGGGGCGUCAAAGCCUACCGAAGAAUAUCAAACUGCGAAUGGCGGACAGAUGAUGCUGGGGAGUCAGACUGCACGAGAUAAGUUGGGUGGUCAAAAGGGAAAGAGCCCAGACCUACAGCUAAGGUCCCAAAGUGCGUGUUAAGUGGAAAAGGAUGUGGGAUUUCGAAGACAACUAGGAUGUUGGCUCAGAAGCAGCCACACAUUAAAAGAGUGCGUAAUAGCUCACUAGUCGAGAGGUCCUGCGCCGAAAAUGUCCGGGGCUAAAACACAACACCGAAGCUUAGGAAUUCUUUUGAAUUGGUAGAGGAGCAUUGAAGACGGAACGAAGCCAUACCGAAAGGAAUGGUGGACUGUCUUGAAGAGAGAAUGCCGGAAUGAGUAGCGAGAUUGAAGUGAGAAUCUUCAAGGCCGAAUAUCUAAGGUUUCCAGGGUAAAGCUGAUCUGCCCUGGGUAAGUCGGGGCCUAAGGCGAGGUCGAAAGACGUAGCCGAUGGACAACAGGUUGAAAUUCCUGUACUGCGAUAUAUCAGAAAUGUGGGGACACAGAAGGAAAGUGUGAGCCGGGAAAGGAAAGACCGGUGCAAGCACAGGAGGAGAGAUACAGGCAAAUCCGUAUUUCAAUCCAAUGGUGUUACGCGGAGCGAACAAAAGUAGCGAAGCACACAGACCAUCUGUCGAGAAAAGCCGCUAUUGUGUAUACCGUACCCGUACCGUAAACCGACACAGGUGGAUGAGGAGAGAAUCCUAAGGCCGGCGGGAGAAGCAUUGUUAAGGAACUCGGCAAAAUGACCCCGUAACUUCGGGAGAAGGGGUGCUCCAGAGAUGGAGCCGCAGAGAACUGGCCCAAGCAACUGUUUAGCAAAAACACAGGUCUAUGCAAAACCGAAAGGUGAGGUAUAUGGGCUGACGCCUGCCCGGUGCUGGAAGGUUAAGAGGAGAUGUUAGCCGCAAGGUGAAGCAUUGAAUUUAAGCCCCAGUAAACGGCGGCCGUAACUAUAACGGUCCUAAGGUAGCGAAAUUCCUUGUCGGGUAAGUUC